Molecule: ribosomal RNA, 503 nt
Filed under: uncultured bacterium
Lineage: Bacteria
Description: bacterial SSU rRNA
Rfam family: Bacterial small subunit ribosomal RNA
Source: RNAcentral
CUACGUGCCAGCAGCCGCGGUAAUACGGAAGGUCCGGGCGUUAUCCGGAUUUAUUGGGUUUAAAGGGAGCGUAGGCCGGAGAUUAAGUGUGUUGUGAAAUGUAGACGCUCAACGUCUGACUUGCAGCGCAUACUGGUUUCCUUGAGUACGCACAACGUUGGCGGAAUUCGUCGUGUAGCGGUGAAAUGCUUAGAUAUGACGAAGAACUCCGAUUGCGAAGGCAGCUGACGGGAGCGCAACUGACGCUUAAGCUCGAAGGUGCGGGUAUCGAACAGGAUUAGAUACCCUGGUAGUCCGCACAGUAAACGAUGGAUGCUCGCUGUUGGCCUUUUUGGUCAGUGGCUUAGCGAAAGCGUUAAGCAUCCCACCUGGGGAGUACGCCGGCAACGGUGAAACUCAAAGGAAUUGACGGGGGCCCGCACAAGCGGAGGAACAUGUGGUUUAAUUCGAUGAUACGCGAGGAACCUUACCCGGGCUUGAACUGCAGCUGAACGAUUCAGAGA